Molecule: ribosomal RNA, 506 nt
Filed under: Lactiplantibacillus plantarum
Lineage: Bacteria; Bacillati; Bacillota; Bacilli; Lactobacillales; Lactobacillaceae
Description: bacterial SSU rRNA
Rfam family: Bacterial small subunit ribosomal RNA
Source: RNAcentral
AGUGAGUGGCGAACUGGUGAGUAACACGUGGGAAACCUGCCCAGAAGCGGGGGAUAACACCUGGAAACAGAUGCUAAUACCGCAUAACAACUUGGACCGCAUGGUCCGAGUUUGAAAGAUGGCUUCGGCUAUCACUUUUGGAUGGUCCCGCGGCGUAUUAGCUAGAUGGUGGUAACGGCUCACCAUGGCAAUGAUACGUAGCCGACCUGAGAGGGUAAUCGGCCACAUUGGGACUGAGACACGGCCCAAACUCCUACGGGAGGCAGCAGUAGGGAAUCUUCCACAAUGGACGAAAGUCUGAUGGAGCAACGCCGCGUGAGUGAAGAAGGGUUUCGGCUCGUAAAACUCUGUUGUUAAAGAAGAACAUAUCUGAGAGUAACUGUUCAGGUAUUGACGGUAUUUAACCANAAAGCCACGGCUAACUACGUGCCAGCAGCCGCGGUAAUACGUAGGUGGCAAGCGUUGUCCGGAUUUAUUGGGCGUAAAGCGAGCGCAGGCGGUUUUUU